GACGAACGCUGGCGGCGUGCCUAAUACAUGCAAGUAGAACGCUGAAGAGAGGAGCUUGCUCUUCUUGGAUGAGUUGCGAACGGGUGAGUAACGCGUAGGUAACCUGCCUUGUAGCGGGGGAUAACUAUUGGAAACGAUAGCUAAUACCGCAUAACAAUGGAUGACACAUGUCAUUUAUUUGAAAGGGGCAAUUGCUCCACUACAAGAUGGACCUGCGUUGUAUUAGCUAGUAGGUGAGGUAAGGGCUCACCUAGGCGACGAUACAUAGCCGACCUGGGAGGGUGGUCGGCCACCCUGGGACUGGGACACGGCCCAGACUCCUACGGGAGGCAGCAGUAGGGGAUCUUCGGCAAUGGGGGCAACCCUGACCGAGCAACGCCGCGUGAGUGAAGAAGGUUUUCGGAUCGUAAAGCUCUGUUGUAAGUCAAGAACGGGUGUGAGAGUGGAAAGUUCACACUGUGACGGUAGCUUACCAGAAAGGGACGGCUAACUACGUG
This 497-nucleotide ribosomal RNA is filed under the name uncultured bacterium. Its description in RNAcentral is "partial 16S ribosomal RNA". It matches the Rfam family "Bacterial small subunit ribosomal RNA", at positions 28 to 507 of the family's 1533-position model. The record is from RNAcentral.